GCCCAGACUCCUACGGGAGGCAGCAGUAGGGAAUCUUCGGCAAUGGGGGGAACCCUGACCGAGCAACGCCGCGUGAGUGAAGAAGGUUUUCGGAUCGUAAAGCUCUGUUGUAAGAGAAGAACGUUAGUAAGAGUGGAAAGUUUACUAAGUGACGGUAUCUUACCAGAAAGGGACGGCUAACUACGUGCCAGCAGCCGCGGUAAUACGUAGGUCCCGAGCGUUGUCCGGAUUUAUUGGGCGUAAAGCGAGCGCAGGCGGUUGUAUAAGUCAGAAGUAAAAGGCAGUGGCUCAACCAUUGUGUGCUUUUGAAACUGUACAACUUGAGUGCAGAAGGGGAGAGUGGAAUUCCAUGUGUAGCGGUGAAAUGCGUAGAUAUAUGGAGGAACACCGGUGGCGAAAGCGGCUCUCUGGU
RNAcentral lists this ribosomal RNA (412 nucleotides) under Streptococcus minor. Its description in RNAcentral is "bacterial SSU rRNA". It matches the Rfam family "Bacterial small subunit ribosomal RNA", at positions 329 to 733 of the family's 1533-position model. Lineage: Bacteria; Bacillati; Bacillota; Bacilli; Lactobacillales; Streptococcaceae. The record is from RNAcentral.